RNAcentral lists this microRNA precursor (103 nucleotides) under Marmota monax (woodchuck). Lineage: Eukaryota; Metazoa; Chordata; Mammalia; Rodentia; Sciuridae. The record is from RNAcentral.
AGCAAGAUAGCUGGAUCAAAUGGUGGUUUUAUUCCAAGUUUUCUAAGAAAUAUCCAUACUGCUUUCCAGAGUGGUUACACCAAUUUGCAGUCCCACCAGCAAU